GGGCUCUCCGGCCCUGCGCGUGCUGCAUAUCACAUGCGCUAAAUAUUUUAUCAAGUUACGACUAAUCGGCUUGUAUUUUGUCGUAAUUAUUCUCAUCGUAAAUAGAGAUGAAUUUUCCCCACGCACAUCUCAAAUGUGAAAAGUCGAACCCGCCGGAAUUACGUCGGGAGGCGGGGUUUCGAUCUUUCCUAAGAAAUCAUUAAUUUGAUGGCGUAAUACGCUGCCGCGCGUUAUCUUGUAGCGCACACUUCAUUAAAACACUAUUCGCCGUUUACGAACGAUAUACUUUAUCACGGACGCGCCGUGAGGUUUUAUCUCUGUUAAAUAUUAACCAUACCGAUAAAGUACACUGUCUUACGUGAGCCUAACGUGUUCAUCUUGUGGCGAAUGUGGUUUUCAUCAAGGCCAGCUCGCAGAUUCAGCUCACUCAUCAGUAUCUCGCAUAAUACUGAUAUCUCCUUUUUAUUUAUCAAUGAAGUUAGCAUACACACAUUUCACGGAUAUGUAUCUUUAGUUUUUGAAUUAUCUUAUUUUUAUCAAAAUGACAUAAUUCAAAAACUUUGAUUGUUAUAAAGCUGCAACUCGGCGAUUCGCUCUGCCGAAUGCGUCCAUUGUCCUAUCACCUAUCGUGAUUAUCGUGACUAUAAAUAUUACAAAUGACGUGAUAAAAUACUAAUCGUGCAAUUAAAAUUAAAUAUAACACGACUAACAAUACACUUGUUCACAGGACCAAAUAUUUUGCACUAUGGAUACAUUUUAUUAAAUACUCUUAUAUUAUUUAUUUAUAACUCGUUUUUCUUACGUUCUCUGUCGUUAUUUCAAGUACAUAAAUAGUUUAAUCGAGCUGCAAUAGCCGCAUAAAAUAUACCUUUAACCAUAGCUCGUUCUAUCGGCUUGCAUCGCCAACAGACUAUGGUGCGACGAAGCGUAAGAGAAGUGAAAUGGAGUUUUAUGUGAUGCAAAACCAAAUUGAAAGCCGAUCAUAAACUGUAACUCCAAAUCGGAUAUAGAUAGAAAUCAGGAGAGGAUUCGUCAGGUGCCUGAUAGAUGGAGAAAAAUUUAUGGGAAAAUAAUAGUGACUUUGAACUUUGAAGAUUGAUACAAUUUAUUUAUUUUGUAAUACACAAGAAUAAUCGAAUAGACAACAACCAAAUCUUUGGUGAAACGAGUAAACUGUAUUUACUAAAAGACACGUUUACAAAUUCGGUUUACAAAUUUUAUACUGAGUUUUUUAUUUUGACACUGGUUACAGGGAAUGUUUAUCCAAUACACAUGUGCGGAAAGAGUGUCGUAUUGCAGUUUCUCCAUUUCAUAUACUUGACUCGAUUCCACGUAAAUGAAUAGUAGAUUUAUCAACUAAUGGAGUUCGUUGUAUAACUGACAAUAUACAACAAAUUUUGUACAUAUAUCGGAAUAGAUUUAUACCGCUCCUCUUGGAUUUUCUUCGCAAUGGCUGUGAUAACAAAUCUUCCCGAAGAAGUGAUAGAGAUUAUUCUGUGUUCUAACAAUAUCAGCACCCAAGAUUUCGUAAACUUUUCCUCCACGUGCAAGCAUUUUCAUCAGAUGAUCAAAAACGACACAUUUUCGCGAC
Molecule: long non-coding RNA, 1591 nt
Organism: Ooceraea biroi (clonal raider ant)
Lineage: Eukaryota; Metazoa; Arthropoda; Insecta; Hymenoptera; Formicidae
Source: RefSeq, a predicted model, not a curated record